Molecule: ribosomal RNA, 254 nt
Filed under: uncultured bacterium
Lineage: Bacteria
Description: partial 16S ribosomal RNA
Rfam family: Bacterial small subunit ribosomal RNA
Source: RNAcentral
UACGGAGGGUGCGAGCGUUGUUCGGAUUUACUGGGCGUAAAGGGCGCGUAGGCGGCCUCCGCAAGUCAGUUGUGAAAUCUCCGAGCUUAACUCGGAAAGGUCAGCUGAUACUGCGGGGCUAGAGUGCGGAAGGGGCAACUGGAAUUCUUGGUGUAGCGGUGAAAUGCGUAGAUAUCAAGAGGAACACCUGCGGCGAAGGCGGGUUGCUGGGCCGACACUGACGCUGAGGCGCGAAAGCUAGGGGAGCGAACGGG